UUAAUAUCCUUUCUGGCAGCUUAUUAUCACCCCGGGCGCCUUCCAUAAAAUCCAACCUCACCAAGGCCGGGGGCGCGGCGCUGCUGGGAGCCGGACUGGAGCAGCUGCUGGGCGCGGGCGGCAGGGCCAGGCCGCGGGGUCCAAAGGUGCUUCUGGGACAGGGGCCCUGGGCCUGCAACUGGUGGGAAAGCCGGAGGGCCCAGAGGAAAGGGUCCAGCCCGCAGCAGUCUUCCUGGUGACUCCACAUCUGGGGUUCAUUCCCCGCCGGCCCAGCGUCAGCGGCCCCACCUCGGCUCUGGGCGACCCGGACUGCCCGCCGGGGUCCGGGAAUUGGGUGCCUUAGGCCCCAGGGGUCUUCUGUCCCUCAACCCGAAGGACAGAGUCUGCUGGCCCUGGGGGUCGGCCUCUGUGCGGCCCGGGGAAGGGACCCACCGAGAGAAGGUGUCGCUGUGCCCCUGCCCCCCACCCCGUCCGCCGGCAGAGCGAGCCCGGCUUUGGCGCGGGGACCUGGCGGCUGCGGAGGCCCGACCCGCCCGCGGCCCCACCGUCUCCAGCCAGCUGCUUAAUCGCGCCGGAAUUUAUCUUGCUAAUAAAUUUAAUGAUCAAUU
Non-coding RNA from Manis javanica (Malayan pangolin), 608 nucleotides. The record is from RefSeq and is a predicted model, not a curated record. NCBI's taxonomy places the organism in Eukaryota, Metazoa, Chordata, Mammalia, Pholidota, Manidae.